RNAcentral lists this ribosomal RNA (497 nucleotides) under uncultured bacterium. RNAcentral describes it as "partial 16S ribosomal RNA". It matches the Rfam family "Bacterial small subunit ribosomal RNA", at positions 28 to 507 of the family's 1533-position model. The record is from RNAcentral.
GAUGAACGCUGGCGGCGUGCCUAAUACAUGCAAGUCGAGCGAACGGACGAGAAGCUUGCUUUUCUGAUGUUAGCGGCGGACGGGUGAGUAACACGUGGAUAACCUACCUAUAAGACUGGGAUAACUUCGGGAAACCGGAGCUAAUACCGGAUGAUAUUUUGAACCGCAUGGUUCAAAAGUGAAAGACGGUCUUGCUGUCACUUAUAGAUGGAUCCGCGCUGCAUUAGCUAGUUGGUAAGGUAACGGCUUACCAAGGCAACGAUGCAUAGCCGACCUGAGAGGGUGGUCGGCCACACUGGAACCGGGACACGGUCCAGACUCCUACGGGAGGCAGCAGUAGGGAAUCUUCCGCAAUGGGCGAAAGCCUGACGGAGCAACGCCGCGUGAGUGAUGAAGGUCUUCGGAUCGUAAAACUCUGUUAUUAGGGAAGAACAUAUGUGUAAGUAACUGUGCACAUCUUGACGGUACCUAAUCAGAAAGCCACGGCUAACUACGUG